This 165-nucleotide ribosomal RNA is filed under the name uncultured bacterium. RNAcentral describes it as "partial 16S rRNA". It matches the Rfam family "Bacterial small subunit ribosomal RNA", at positions 355 to 511 of the family's 1533-position model. The record is from RNAcentral.
UAGGGAAUCUUCCACAAUGGGCGAAAGACCUGAUGGAGCAACGCCGCGUGUGUGAUGAAGGGUUUCGGCUCGUAAAACACUGUUGUAAGAGAAGAAUGACAUUGAGAGUAACUGUUCAAUGUGUGACGGUAUCUUACCAGAAAGGAACGGCUAAAUACGUGCCAC